GUUACACAAAACUAAUUACAAUAGCAAAUCCCCUAUAUUAUAUUUAGAGUUGAAGCAUAAAUAAUGAUGUUUCAUUCAUUUCAGUUUAACACUUUCAUUUGGUUUCAUUUGACAAACUCAGGUGAGUAUAGUCAUAGAUCUGGCACAGCCUUCCAGCAAAAUCAAGUCUGUCUAGAUUGUCAAAUGAAGGCAGAGCUUUUCCUUUUGAUUCCAAUGAGGUACAAACAGCUCAUACUGAACCUCUCCGACACCUAAAAAGGAUUAACAUCCUGGUAUGAGUAAGGCAACUGUUUGUGGUGGCAGACAUGAACUGGUUGUCCCUACAGGUCCUGCUUGCAAUGUCCACAAGGGUGAACACCUGUAUGCCAACCCAGGGAAGAAGCGUGGAGGGCUAUGGUACACCUACAUACUCAGCCUGGUGUUCAAAGUUGGCUUUGAUGCAGUCUUCCUCUAUAUUUUGUACUUAAUUUAUCAUUUCGACAUGCCAAGAGUUGUCAAAUGCACUGAGGAACCUUGUCCAAAUCAAGUUGACUGCUACAUCUCCCAUCCUACAGAGAAGAAAAUCUUCACCUUCUUUAUGGUGGUCACUUCUUCACUGUGCAUCUUCAUGUGUAUCUGUGAGAUAUUAUAUCUGAUUACCAAGAAAAUUCGCAAAUACCUGCUCAAACAGCAUGAACACAACACCAUCACACAGCAUAAUUACAAAAGGGUGGAUCCAACGGCCUCAUCCAACCAGAAUCUCAGCAACUUUGAAAAAGCAAAGGCCACAGCAGGGGAGAAGGAUUCAGAACCGGCAUAAUUAUCGUCUGAACUGACUGUGGAACAAGCAAGCAUUAUAAACAGUAGUAAGACACACUGGACCUUGCUAAUAAUAUAGAUAAUCCAAUCAUACCAAUACGCCAAAGGAAUAUUGCAUUUAAAAUAUUUUAAGGACUUUUUAUUGUGACAAUAACAUAGGACUAAUUCUGAAUGUCAUUAUUUUCUUAUAUGUAAUCAUUUAAAUGAAAAAUAAGGUCAUUAGGGUGGUAUUCUUGAGUCUCAUCCACUAAAGGAUCACACUGCCCCCUAAUGUACAGAAAACAGACCCACUUCAGACAACAACAUGGUGGGGAGGAGACCAUAGUAAGCAUCCUGUUCCUGGCCUAAUACAGUAAAUGAAUAAGUGUCCACACUUACUAAAGUCUGAGAUCGUCCACAAAACAUUGAUCAACAGCUACAGGACACUCAGAGACUCUUGAAAGCUGGACUGCCCUAUAACCUUGGGAAGUCUACAUUUUGCACAUCAAUACUUUUAUGAUUUGCUCAAAACAAAUGUAAUAUUUCAUGUACAUGCACUGUGUAGUAAUAAUGUUUACAGAAAUCAUGUUUUCAAGUAUCCCAUUGCAAACACAUCCUUUAUUGUGUUUGUCCUUGUUUAUUUUGCACAUACUGUACUUCAAAGUAAAGCACUACCAAAUUCUAUGUAAUACUAAAUAAAGCACAAAUGAGCACACCAUAUCUAAACAUAAAUAUAUAUUUCUGUUUCUAAAUUAUCACUAUUACAAUUCAUGGGAAUAUGGCAAAAUGUAAAUGUAUUAAACAUAUACAAU
Sinocyclocheilus rhinocerous is the source of this 1589-nucleotide long non-coding RNA. RefSeq lists it as uncharacterized. The transcript is spliced from 2 exons. The record is from RefSeq and is a predicted model, not a curated record. Lineage: Eukaryota; Metazoa; Chordata; Actinopteri; Cypriniformes; Cyprinidae.